Molecule: long non-coding RNA, 335 nt
Filed under: Zostera marina
Lineage: Eukaryota; Viridiplantae; Streptophyta; Magnoliopsida; Alismatales; Zosteraceae
Description: long non-coding RNA (ZMAR_LNC001612)
Source: RNAcentral
UUAAAGUAUAUAUUGAAUGAGAAUGAUUGAUGAUGGAUGAAUGUAUGAUGGAAUGAAUUGAAUGAUUUAAAUAUGUAUGUAAACUGAUACUGUAGCUAGGAUCAAGAAUUGAUGAAACGAUGAUCCACAGUUUGAAUUAGUGAUUGGAAGACUGAAGUGUUGCGAAAGCGGAGUUGCAGCGAUUACAGUUUGAGUAGUCAAACUGUAAGUAUAUGUAUUUGCAGAUUUAGAGUAUGAGAACUUAAUUACUAAUGAGGUUUAGGUUGGUUUAUAUAGAUGAGAAAACACCCAACGAGUAUGCUGAUUGGAUGUAUUAAUGGGAUGUAAUAAAUGGA